GAUCCUGGCUCAGGACGAACGCUGGCGGCGCGCCUAACACAUGCAAGUCGAACGAGCGAGAGAAAGCUUGCUUUCUCGAGCGAGUGGCGAACGGGUGAGUAACGCGUGAGGAACCUGCCUCAAAGAGGGGGACAACAGUUGGAAACGACUGCUAAUACCGCAUAAGCCCACGGCUCGGCAUCGAGCAGAGGGAAAAGGAGCAAUCCGCUUUGAGAUGGCCUCGCGUCCGAUUAGCUUAGG
RNAcentral lists this ribosomal RNA (240 nucleotides) under uncultured bacterium. Its description in RNAcentral is "partial 16S ribosomal RNA". It matches the Rfam family "Bacterial small subunit ribosomal RNA", at positions 15 to 250 of the family's 1533-position model. The record is from RNAcentral.